This 465-nucleotide ribosomal RNA is filed under the name uncultured bacterium. Its description in RNAcentral is "partial 16S ribosomal RNA". It matches the Rfam family "Bacterial small subunit ribosomal RNA", at positions 28 to 507 of the family's 1533-position model. The record is from RNAcentral.
GACGAACGCUGGCGGCGUGCUUAACACAUGCAAGUCGAACGGAAAGGCCCCCUUGUGGGGUACUCGAGUGGCGAACGGGUGAGUAACACGUGAGUAACCUACCCUUGACUUUGGGAUAACUUCAGGAAACUGGGGCUAAUACCGGAUAGGAGCUCCUGCUGCAUGGUGGGGGUUGGAAAGUUUCGGCGGUUGGGGAUGGACUCGCGGCUUAUCAGCUUGUUGGUGGGGUAGUGGCUCACCAAGGCUUUGACGGGUAGCCGGCCUGAGAGGGUGACCGGCCACAUUGGGACUGAGAUACGGCCCAGACUCCUACGGGAGGCAGCAGUGGGGAAUAUUGCACAAUGGGCGGAGGCCUGAUGCAGCAACGCCGCGUGCGGGAUGACGGCCUUCGGGUUGUAAACCGCUUUCGCCUGUGACGAAGCGUGAGUGACGGUAAUGGGUAAAGAAGCACCGGCUAACUACGUG